AGAGUUUGAUCAUGGCUCAGAAUCAACGCUGGCGGCGCGCUUAACACAUGCAAGUCGCACGAGAAAGCAGGAGCAAUCUUGUGAGUAAAGUGGCGUACGGGUGAGUAACACGUGGAUCAUCUACCUUCUAGUGGGGAAUACCUCUGGGAAACUGGAGAUAAUUCCGCAUAAGCUCGUGAGAGGAAAGCCGAAAGGCGCUGGAAGAGGAGUCCGCGGCUGAUUAGCUAGAUGGCGGGGUAACGGCCCACCAUGGCGAAGAUCGGUAGCCGGCCUGAGAGGGCACACGGCCACACUGGCACUGAAACACGGGCCAGACUCCUACGGGAGGCAGCAGUGGGGAAUCUUGCACAAUGGAGGCAACUCUGAUGCAGCGACGCCGCGUGAGCGAUGAAGCCCUUCGGGGUGUAAAGCUCUUUCGACGGGAAAGAUGAUGACGGUACCCGGAGAAGAAGCUGCGGCUAACUACGUGCCAGCAGCCGCGGUAAUACGUAGGCAGCGAGCGUUGUUCGGAAUUACUGGGCGUAAAGAGUGUGUAGGCGGUGUUCCAAGUCUGGUGUGAAAUCUCCCGGCUUAACUGGGAGGGUGCGCCGGAAACUGGAAUGCUCGAGGGUGGGAGAGGUAAGCGGAAUUCCUGGUGUAGCGGUGAAAUGCGUAGAUAUCAGGAGGAACACCUGUGGUGUAGACAGCUUACUGGACCACUUCUGACGCUGAGACACGAAAGCGUGGGUAGCAAACAGGAUUAGAUACCCUAGUAGUCC
RNAcentral lists this ribosomal RNA (758 nucleotides) under uncultured bacterium. RNAcentral describes it as "bacterial SSU rRNA". It matches the Rfam family "Bacterial small subunit ribosomal RNA", at positions 8 to 796 of the family's 1533-position model. The record is from RNAcentral.